Molecule: long non-coding RNA, 1647 nt
Organism: Cucumis melo (muskmelon)
Lineage: Eukaryota; Viridiplantae; Streptophyta; Magnoliopsida; Cucurbitales; Cucurbitaceae
Exons: 5
Source: RefSeq, a predicted model, not a curated record
AUUGUUUAACUUCAGCCCCUUUGGUAGAACAAAACCCUAAGCGCUCGCUUCACUCUCUUCUAGUUCUCUCCAAUCUUCAACGUUCGGCCCCUCCCCUCCGAUCAGACGACGCCGGUGACCGCCGCUCAACCUCUCCUACGGCGACUGUAACUCCGAUCAGACCAGCCGCACUCGCCCUUCGUUUUGGUCUCGGUUUAAAGGAAGUGCUAAGACUCCUAUUGAACGCGCUUGUUGGUUAGUUAAGGUAGUUCUGUGGACUGGGGGUAGAAUACUUUCUAUGACACACCUUCCUUCAGGGAUACAGUGGCUCCAGGGCAAGAUUGAAAUCAAUGGUUAUGAAGAAUACAGUUGUGUAGACCGAGCGGCUGGAUGUAUCGAGGAAUAUAGCAUCAUUGAGAGCUUUCUCUUUGCUAGGGCUGUAAAACUAAGGUUGGCUUGAGGAAACAUAAUUUGCUCCAUCCAAAAAGAACAGAAAGGUCAGUGGAAAAUGCUCUUGAAAAUAGAAGAAAAACCUACUCCAUACUUGAAGGUUUGCUGGAACAAAUGGUGUGGUGAGGAUGAGUCAGACUGUAAGUUCCUAUUUAUUUCACAGAUGCUCUCAAACACCUUGGAAAAUGUAGAUAGAAUAUACAAAAAGGGAGAACCUCAGUUCUAAAUAUAUGGCCCCAAGAUGAUCGAAGCGGCAAGAAUGUAGGAAUGCUUUGUAAGUCCUCCUUAAACAGUCUCAAUAACUAAAUUACUUUUGCAGUUUUUGGAAUACGUUUGUAAAAAAAAUGCUUCUCAAGAUAAGUUACUUUUGUUAGAAUAACUCUUGAAUGUGAAUGUAGACCCUUAAAACUUGAGUGGUACAAGUUCUUGCAGGGUUCUUUUUGACAUGUGAAUUAUGGAUGAAUCAUUUGGCUGAAUAUGGAAUAUAAAAAUCCCAAGCUGAUUUAAGUCAUUUACACUUCUUUUUCCACGUGGAAUUGAUAACAAUAGAAGUAUAGUUACAUAGAAAAUUAGACAAACUGCUCCAUUACGGUGUUGGUCAACUUUCUUUUAAAUCAGUGCCUUCUCCUAAAACAAAUCUAUCUGCAUUGAUUUCUUUCAAACUAUAACCCUACAUAGAUUCUUUGAUUGCAUUAACCUUUGUAAAAAUGAUUUUAUUUUUUGUUUCCUAUUUCUCAAAAGUAUACAGUAUACUUCCUUUCUGAUCAUUUCUUUAUCACUCUCUUUUUAAAAUUUCUCAAAGAACACCCUCAAAAUUUUGGUUAGGAAUUGUAAUUAUCCAUAAAUAAGUUCAUUAUCUUUGUCAAAGCAGAAUGAUGAGGUUUGUAUAGUAAUAUCCUAGAACAAUUAGAUUGCUUUCUUGUUUGAGUUUUGUAUCAAGUCUGAUUGGUUACAUUUUGCCUGCUCUCUCUUGUUAUAGCUGAUUUUGCCAGCUUCAUUGUUCAUCGUUUUCUUCUUUCGUUUUGUCAUAUAUUCAUGAACCUUCCCUUACAUUUUAACUUUGAAAUGGAUGGUGUCUUUAUUGCGUUUGCCCGCAGCAUUUGAUACCAAUUUUGGUUAUAGAUGUUAGCAAUAGAGUGUGUAUAUAUAUACAAGUGAUGCUAUUAGAGAUGUAUGACUUCGAACUCCAAAAUAAUGUUUAUAUCAAAUUUGUCUGUA